CACGUAGUUAGCCGUGGCUUUCUCAUAAGGUACCGUCAAUUGAUAGUCAUUUCCUCCUAUCACCUUUCUUCCCUUAUAACAGAAUUUUACAACCCGAAGGCCUUCUUCAUUCACGCGGCGUUGCUCGGUCAGGCUUUCGCCCAUUGCCGAAGAUUCCCUACUGCUGCCUCCCGUAGGAGUCUGGGCCGUGUCUCGGUCCCAGUGUGGCCGUUCACCCUCUCAGGUCGGCUACGCAUCGUCGCCUUGGUAGGCCUUUACCCCACCAACUAGCUAAUGCGCCGCAGGCUCAUCCAUCAGUGAUGCUAGGAGCAUCUUUAAACUUUCGUCCUAUCCGGUAUUAGCGAUCGUUUCCAAUCGUUGUCCCCGUCUGAUGGGCAGAUCACCUACGUGUUACUCACCCGUUCGCCGCUUCCCACCGAAGUGGUUCGCUCGACUUGCAUGUAUUAGGCACGCCGCCAGCGUUCAUCCUGAGCCAGGAUCAAACUCU
This 487-nucleotide ribosomal RNA is filed under the name uncultured Turicibacter sp. RNAcentral describes it as "partial 16S ribosomal RNA". The record is from RNAcentral. Lineage: Bacteria; Bacillati; Bacillota; Erysipelotrichia; Erysipelotrichales; Turicibacteraceae.